RNAcentral lists this long non-coding RNA (4917 nucleotides) under Sus scrofa (pig). RNAcentral's name for it is "lncRNA (ENSSSCG00055008295.1)". Lineage: Eukaryota; Metazoa; Chordata; Mammalia; Artiodactyla; Suidae. The record is from RNAcentral.
GGAAGUUUCCAGGCUAUGGGUCAAAUUGGAGCUGCAGCUGCAGACCUACCUCACAGCCACAGGAAAUUUGGAUCUGAGUGAGCCACACCUGCAACCUACACUGCAGCUUGCAGCAACACUGGAUCCUUAACCCACUGAGCAAGGCCAGGGAUCAAUCCUGCAUCCUCAGAACACUAUGUCAGGUUCUUAACCCACUGAGCCACUGAACCACAACAGGAACUCCUCAACUACCAUUUUCAAACACUUUUUUUUUUUGGCUAGGGGUCUAAUCGGAGCUGUAGCUACUGGCCUAUGCCAAAGCCACAGCAAUGCUGGAUCCAAGCCAUGUCUGGGACCUACACCACAGCUCACAACAACACCAGAUCCUUAACCCACUAAGCAAGGCCAGGGAUCAAACCCAUGUCCUCAAGGAUACUAGUUGGGUUUGUUACUGCUGAGCCACAACAAGAACUCCCAACAAAAGUUAGACUUAAAUUAGGUGCUCACAUCCACUUAUGUAGUUAACAAGUACUAGAAUCAAUGCCCUACAUGAUCUGCUUUUAAUAAUCAGUCUAGUUAAUCAAGAAGUUCCCUCCACUUACUCUCUAGAGUUAAGGAGUUUUGUGUGUGUGGAAUAAUUAUAACUAAAACAGAAGUAACAAAAAUAUAUGCAUACACCUACAAAGUAUUCUAAUCAGAAUUAAUCUUCAGUCUCUAGUGUCUUAAAUCACAAAGGUUUAUCAGGAAGUUUACACUUUUUCAAAGGUUUAUCAGGAAGUUUUUCACUUUUUGUUGUUGUUGUCUUUUUGCCUUUUCUAGGGCCACUCCCGCGGCACAUGGAGGUUCCCAGGCUAGGGGUCUAAUUGGAGCUAUAGCCACCAGCCUACACCAGAGCCACAGCAACACGGGAUCCGAGCCAUGUCUGCAACCUAUACCACAGCACACAGCAGCACCGGAUCGUUAACCCACUGAGCAAGGCCAGGGAUCGAACCCAAAGCCUCAUGGUUCCUAGUCAGAUUCGUUAACCACUGCACCACGACAGGAACUCCCAUUUUUCAUUUCUUUACCAUUCCAUUACUGUAGUAAAUACUUGCACAAUAAGCCUUCAAUAAUUCAAUAGCAUAUUAGCCAUACUUUAAUAAUAAUAAUAUUCAACUAUAUCCCAAUAAAGCAGGAAAAAAACACACACAUUCACAUGUAACAUAUACAUAAUAAUAAUAAUAAUAUUACAUAAAGUCGUAUCACAUUACAUUAUUAAUGGAUAUCCAUAAUUAAGUCCCUACUACAUGCUGGGCAAACUAUUAGGUCGUUACUAUAUGAUCUCAUUUAGUCUCUGUAGUUCUGGGAGUUUGGUUUUCUUAUCUGCACUUUACAGGAGAGUAAAAUGGCUCAGAAUAAGUUGCCCAUGAGUUCACAGAUACCAAGUAAUGUGCUAGAAAGGGGUCUCUAACCCACUCAGACUACCCCAAACAUAAGAGAAUUUUGCAAAGUAGGAGUCUGCAAAAUUAACGUACAAAAUAAAUAGCCUUGCUACACAAGAAUGAAAAACCAGACAGAAAAUAUUAUGGAAGAAAGACUGUUUAGGAUAAUAAGGAUAUAAAAGAAUAAAUAAGCAAUUAAAUAAAUGAAUGAACAGAACACCAAGGAGCAACCUUAGUAGCAAAUGUCUGAAAGCUCUGAAAGGAAAAUUGCACAACACUUCUGAAAGACACAGAAGUUAUUUAACGAAUGGUGGUGGGGGGAGCAGGUUCUUGGACAAGAAGACUCAACCUCAUAAAGAUAAUAAUUGUCCCCAUGCUGAUACAUGAAUUUAUCACAAUUCUUAUAAAAGUAACAUCAGUAUUUUUUCCCCUUGAAGUAUUCUAGUUGAUUACAAAGUUAAUUUGGAAUAACAAGUAAGAAAAUUAAGAAAAACUCUGAAGGAAAAAAAAAAGAGCAAUGGUGGGGGUGAGGUGGGAGGCUAACGCUUCAGAUAUUGAAAUAUGUUUUAAAACUUCUAAAAUUAAAAUAAUGCAAUAAUGACAAAUGAAUAGACAGACUAACAUAGAAGAGAAAACCUAAAAGUAUGUAUAAUUGCAUAGGAAAUUUUACAACAGGAAACCAUGAAAAUAAUGGAAGAAUACAAAUGAACUCCUUUACAAACUUCAAGUGGGAAAAAAAUUCCUAAUUAUGCCUCAGUGACAUAAUACCCAACCAAGUCAACUAAACAAUAUUAAAGACAAAUGCCUCUCUUGGUCAAAUAAUCUUCAUUUUCAUGGAUUCUAUGAAAAGCAAAAUCCAACACACCUCUGGGAAUCACAGAACUGCAGCAUUGUUCAGCAGAACUAACUCUAACAUCUUACCUUUUCAUCACCAUUUUUAAACCCCAGCAGAAGGAUUAUAGCACUAUAACCAAAACCUAGGAUAUUUAAAUCAUAUCUAUAGAAUUAAGCUGGAAAAACUACAGCACCCCAUGCCCCAAUUAACAUCUAAGAUUUCUCCUUGCAUUUUAGUAUGCUUAUUUAUAAAAGGGAUUACAAUCCUUGAAUAUCUUAAUCUACAAUUUAUAUUAAAAAAUACUAUGUGCUACAAGCGCCUUUAAUAUUUAGGUUUAUCCUACAACUAAAAAUUAUAAUGGAAAUGUAUAGCAAAGCACUAUAAACAAUAUUUUCAAAAAAUUUGUUGUGGAGAAGGACCCCUGGUGUCCAGCUGGAUUCAAGCCAGUCUAUAGUGUAGUUGACUGCACAGAAUUUGAGUCCAUGAUGAGACAGCAUCUUUGCUUACUUUGAGAUAUUUUACUUUCCCCGUAAAAGAUGUCAAGCCCCUAAAAUUUGUAAAGAAUAUGUUUAGGAAGAAAAAUCUAUGUUGUUUUAUGUUUUCCCCAAUAAACAUUUCAGAAGCAUAAUAUAGAUUCUUUGGACACUGAACACACCAUUACUGACUGACAGGAAUGUAUCUCAGACACAAUAAUUACAGUGUCUGAUUAGCGUCUCUGGAACAUAUAGAUAACAUCUACAUUUAUAAAAAUGAGAACUAUCUCCACAAGUAGCUUCUGAAAAAAGGUUUAAAAAAAACAUAAAAAUGGUACAUUGGUAAAAAAAAAACAUGAUCACUGCCUUGCUGUAUACUAACAUUGCCUUGCAAAUGAAAACCUGCACUAUUCCUUAUGAUCAGGGUUUCACCCAUUUAUUUGGUUAAUCAUUCAAAUGGCUAAACAGACCUCUAAUUUGAAAAUAAAAACCAAUUGAUGCAAUCACAAACAAGUUCUAAAAUUGCGGUUUAUAAAAAUUGAAAUCUUGUUCUAAGCCAAAACACACACACAGUUACCUUUUCCUAAUCAGAGCAUUCAUUUCUCCUCAUUAUGAUCUCACAAGCACAUUAAAAUCUUAUUAACAUUAAUUACUUCUGAGCGCCUAUGCAUGAGCAGUGACAGUCGUGAGCGUGCGCGUGUCUGGAUCAUAUCUACAUUUAUAUACCUUGCUGAACUUUGCUUAUAAAACAUGUGAAAAUAUUUCUACUAACACCAAUUAGCUAAUUUCACACACACACAGAUAGUAAACUGCUGCCUCACUGCACAGCCUAUCAGAGACCAGUAAACAUAUGGACAAACGGACGGGAAAGAAAGCAGAAACACCUCCUGAAUGUGAGAACUAAAGUGCCUUAUACUUGAGUCUUAAUUCUUGAGGUGAAAACAAAUAGAGAGAGCAAAAUAACAAAAAAUUAAAAAUAAUUAAAAAUUUAAAAAUCAAGCAUUCUAUUUUCUACACGGAUGGGCUCGAUAAAAAUGAUAGAGACAAAGAAAAACUGGCGAGCAAAAAGCAGCAGACACAGGAGAGAUAGAGACAGAUAAACAAAGAGACAGAAAUGAAAGUGUCCUUUUUUCAUGUGUAUACAUGCACACACCCGCGUACAUAGACACACACGCAGUGCUUCAUAUAACCAUAUUCAUAUUAUAAUCUGAACAAAAACAAUACAAUAUUUACUUUGACUAUAAUGUAAGAAUUAUAGCACACCACAUCUCAAAAUCAAACAGGUCUAUCCUCACAAGCAAUAAAAUUCCUACUCAACCUAAGUGAUUUGUGGAUUCUUCUUAUACAAAGAUUAUAUAUAGGAGCCACUCAUCCCUUACAAUAGAAACUCUAUGUAAAUGCAGACAACUAGGCAGUUAUAGCUAUGAAACUACGUAUAAUCUUUAUCUCUUCUCUACAUACUUUCCUCUCAGAAACCAAAUAUUUUACCAUUCACACACUCACUCCAUCAAAUUAUGUUCUCCCCCCCAUCAUCUGUCCUUUAGUGGGAAUAUUUAUAAAGGAUUAAACAUUGAUCAUUACAUCCACAUUUUUUAUUUGUUUGUUUUGUCCAUGUGUUUAUCUUCUCUUUAGAGCCUGUAAUUAAAGCUAAAUCUAAAGAUAUAUGAAAUAUCAUUGUAUCUUUACCAACACAUUCUAUCCUGAGUUUUUCUGCCAUCUUUAAUUUCUUUGUUGCCAUUGACCACUAUCCCAACAUUGUAUCACUUUCCCAAAGAAAAUAUUUCAAAAUUCCUAUGGAAAACACUAUACAAUGGCCAAAAAAUUUAUGUGUAGUUCCAUAAUGACUUUUUCAGGGGAAAUAACAACCUCUUUGGAUUGUAAUACCUAUGUUUGUAGAAAAAGAUGAAAUAAUUCUCAAAUUAUGCUCAUCAAAUAAUUUUUGAACAUUUGACUAUGAAUGUAAUAUAGAAAGAAUAUGAGACAUUUGACUAUUCAAUAUGAUUAAUGCUCAAGAUGAUAUAAGCAACAAUAGCUCUUUCUAUAAUCCCAGUGUUCAACCUAUUGUCCAGCAGCUUCAUAGGCCUAUAGAAUGGGGGUCAAUUACAUACAGCAAUACAAGUGUGCACCCUACAGGUGUGCUAAGUAACAAGGGUCUAAGAGCUCUGUCUGUAGUGCAUAAUGCAUAUUGGAGAAGAAAUGGUAGAGAACA